This 253-nucleotide ribosomal RNA is filed under the name uncultured bacterium. Its description in RNAcentral is "partial 16S ribosomal RNA". It matches the Rfam family "Bacterial small subunit ribosomal RNA", at positions 524 to 776 of the family's 1533-position model. The record is from RNAcentral.
UACGGAGGGGGCUAGCGUUGUUCGGAAUUACUGGGCGUAAAGCGCACGUAGGCGGUGACGCAUGUCAGAUGUGAAAGCCCUGGGCUUAACCUAGGAAUUGCAUUUGAAACUGCGUCGCUAGAGGCCGGAAGAGGGUAGUGGAAUUCCCAGUGUAGAGGUGAAAUUCGUAGAUAUUGGGAAGAACACCAGUGGCGAAGGCGGCUACCUGGUCCGGUUCUGACGCUGAGGCGCGAAAGCUAGGGGAGCAAACAGG